This 373-nucleotide ribosomal RNA is filed under the name uncultured organism. RNAcentral's name for it is "partial 16S ribosomal RNA". It matches the Rfam family "Bacterial small subunit ribosomal RNA", at positions 527 to 896 of the family's 1533-position model. The record is from RNAcentral.
GUAGGUGGCAAGCGUUGUCCGGAAUUAUUGGGCGUAAAGCGCGCGCAGGCGGUUCUUUAAGUCUGAUGUGAAAGCCCACGGGCUCAACCGUGGAGGGUCAUUGGAAACUGGAGAACUUGAGUACAGAAGAGGAAAGCGGAAUUCCGCGUGUAGCGGUGAAAUGCGUAGAGAUGUGGAGGAACACCAGUGGCGAAGGCGGCUUUCUGGUCUGUAACUGACGCUGAGGCGCGAAAGCGUGGGGAGCAAACAGGGUUAGAUACCCUGGUAGUCCACGCCGUAAACGAUGAGUGCUAAGUGUUAGGGGGUUUCCGCCCCUUAGUGCUGCAGCUAACGCAUUAAGCACUCCGCCUGGGGAGUACGGCCGCAAAGGCUG